RNAcentral lists this ribosomal RNA (253 nucleotides) under uncultured bacterium. Its description in RNAcentral is "partial 16S ribosomal RNA". It matches the Rfam family "Bacterial small subunit ribosomal RNA", at positions 524 to 776 of the family's 1533-position model. The record is from RNAcentral.
UACGGAGGGUGCGAGCGUUAUCCGGAUUUACUGGGCGUAAAGCGGGUGCAGACGGUUUUUCAAGUCGGGCGUAAAAUCUCCCAGCUUAACUGGGAGCGACCGUUCGAUACUGUGAGGCUUGAGGACAGCAGGGGGAGGUAGAAUUCUCGGUGUAGUGGUGGAAUGCGUAGAUAUCGAGAGGAAUACCAGUGGCGAAGGCGGCCUUCUGGACUGACACUGACACUGAGGUGCGAAAGCGUGGGUAGCAAACAGG